This is a long non-coding RNA of Lethenteron reissneri (Far Eastern brook lamprey), 1114 nucleotides long. RefSeq lists it as uncharacterized. Lineage: Eukaryota; Metazoa; Chordata; Hyperoartia; Petromyzontiformes; Petromyzontidae. The record is from RefSeq and is a predicted model, not a curated record.
UUAAACGUGGAGGUGGGGAGCGUGGCCCAUUGAACCGAAAUCAACCGCGGCGCCGGUGCCAGGCCAGGUGCACCUUGAGGCUAUCGAUCCGAGAGGAGACGGAGCCGGCUCGGGUUCCUGUAAACGAUUUUGGGAAUUCCAUCCAGAAGUGUUUUUUUUUGUUGUUCGAUUGUUAUCAUCACAAUCAAAGAAGCUAAUAGCUCAGUGGGCUUUACCUGCACGAUUGGCUACGUACAUACGAUGGGUGAUGUGGCCAAGACAAGUAUGUGCAAUGGGACUGAUCCAAAGGGCUUCUGCUGCAGACACUGCUCACAACCUGCCUCCCCGCUCGGUGGGCUUCCUGCCGCGUUCGUCCCCCCGCACGCUUCACUCACCAUGCCGUCGGCACACUUGGUGCCGGACUGCACGAGAGCCGGGUCGGGAACGUCGCUGCCCAGGCGGGCGGCCGCCUCACCUCGGGGGAGCCGCAGUCGCACUCCUCGCCGGCGUCCAGCAUCUUGUCCCCGCAGACGGGAGGGCGCAAGGCCUCGUCCGCCUUGGGCACGUUCAGCAAGCAGGUGGCCCCGUUCACCAGCCCCUCCAGGUCGUCCGCGCUGCAGCCACUGAACACCGUCGCCGGUGGCGACCUGGGCGAUGGCGCACCGCAAAGACCCCCCCCCCGUGUUGCCUUUAGCAGACUGUUGGGGCAAGUGCUUUUAGCGAGGAGCACCUAUGAAGACCGGAACGGCACACGAUGGGGCGGUGUGGCAAACAACCACGCCCGACCGCCUUUGUCUCUCCAGUGGCGAUGGUUACACACCUCACCAGGUACUCAUUCGAGGCUGAAUCAACCUAGGAGAGGCCCAGGACCGGUUAAGAUAAUUGUCACUGAUGUUGGCCGUGAGCAGAAAUGGAAUUCUAGCCCGCCGGGUUCAUAGCGCAGCGUGCCAACUACUACACUACCACUCCCCACACAUCCAGCUAAAGUCGUGGAAAGAUAUUAUCUCCCUCGCUGGGUACGCAGGAGGUCGGAGAUGCGACUGCGCGUGUGUGAAAACUGCGCGCGUUAUGAACCCUACAGUGUUUUUGGAUGCAAUGUGCAUUAAUGAUGCUCAAUAAAUGAUUUUAAAGCUCA